AACGAACGCUGGCGGCAUGCCUAACACAUGCAAGUCGAACGAGACCUUCGGGUCUAGUGGCGCACGGGUGCGUAACGCGUGGGAACCUGCCCUUAGGUUCGGAAUAACUCCCCGAAAGGGGUGCUAAUACCGGAUAAUGUCUUCGGACCAAAGAUUUAUCGCCUUUGGAUGAGCCCGCGUUGGAUUAGCUAGUUGGUAGGGUAAAAGCCUACCAAGGCGACGAUCCAUAGCUGGUCUGAGAGGAUGAUCAGCCACACUGGGACUGAGACACGGCCCAGACUCCUACGGGAGGCAGCAGUGGGGAAUAUUGGACAAUGGGCGAAAGCCUGAUCCAGCAAUGCCGCGUGAGUGAUGAAGGCCUUAGGGUUGUAAAGCUCUUUUACCCGGAAUGAUAAUGACAGUACCGGGAGAAUAAGCUCCGGCUAACUCCGUG
RNAcentral lists this ribosomal RNA (433 nucleotides) under uncultured bacterium. RNAcentral's name for it is "partial 16S ribosomal RNA". It matches the Rfam family "Bacterial small subunit ribosomal RNA", at positions 29 to 507 of the family's 1533-position model. The record is from RNAcentral.